Molecule: long non-coding RNA, 304 nt
Filed under: Ananas comosus (pineapple)
Lineage: Eukaryota; Viridiplantae; Streptophyta; Magnoliopsida; Poales; Bromeliaceae
Description: long non-coding RNA (ACOM_LNC027564)
Source: RNAcentral
AAAAUUAAUAUUUGCAUCCGGUGUAACGAUUCGAUCCGCUAACAAUAAUAACUCGUUAGGUCCAAACCAUCGACCCAAAAUGCUUAAGUUCAGUUAUUAUGUCUAGCCUAAUCAAACUUAUAUACCUCCAGAUCUAGUUAUAACUAUUCGAUAUGGAAUUAUUAAUUAGGGUGUCACGCCCGGUAUAUGUAUACAUUUCAUAUGCAACAAUAAAUUCAUACGAUAGAAAUAUCAAAAAUAAUAUUUAAUUAAUUUAUUUUAUUUUAUAGUAUUCUAAAUGUCUGGAUAAUAAAAAAUUACAUAA